GAUGAACGCUGGCGGCGUGCCUAAUACAUGCAAGUCGAGCGAACAGACGAGGAGCUUGCUCCUCUGACGUUAGCGGCGGACGGGUGAGUAACACGUGGAUAACCUACCUAUAAGACUGGGAUAACUUCGGGAAACCGGAGCUAAUACCGGAUAAUAUAUUGAACCGCAUGGUUCAAUAGUGAAAGACGGUUUUGCUGUCACUUAUAGAUGGAUCCGCGCCGCAUUAGCUAGUUGGUAAGGUAACGGCUUACCAAGGCAACGAUGCGUAGCCGACCUGAGAGGGUGAUAGGCCACAAUGGAACUGAGAAACGGUCCAGACUCCGACGGGAGGGCGGAGUUGGGAAUAUUGCAGAAUGGGCGAAAGCCUGACGGAGCAACGCCGCGUGAGUGAUGAAGGUCUUCGGAUCGUAAAGCUCUGUUAUUAGGGAAGAACAAAUGUGUAAGUAACUAUGCACGUCUUGACGGUACCUAAUCAGAAAGCCACGGCUAACUACGUG
RNAcentral lists this ribosomal RNA (497 nucleotides) under uncultured bacterium. Its description in RNAcentral is "partial 16S ribosomal RNA". It matches the Rfam family "Bacterial small subunit ribosomal RNA", at positions 28 to 507 of the family's 1533-position model. The record is from RNAcentral.